CCUACGGGCGGCAGCAGUGAGGAAUAUUGGUCAAUGGACGCAAGUCUGAACCAGCCAAGUCGCGUGAAGGAUGACUGCCCUAUGAGUUUUAAACUUCUUUUAUAUGAGAGUAAACUUUUCCACGUUUAUGAUUUUGUAUGUACCGUAUGAAUAAGGAUCGGCUAACUCCGUGCCAGCAGCCGCGGUAAUACGGAGGAUCCGAGCGUUAUCCGGAUUUAUUGGGUUUAAAGGGCGCGUAGGUGGAUUGUUAAGUCAGUUGUGAAAGUCUGAGGCUCAACCGUAAAAUUGCACGUGAGACUGGCAGGCUAGAGUACAGUAGAGGUAGGCGGAAUGCGUGGUGUAGCGGUGAAAUGCUUAGAUAUCACGAAGAACUCCGAUUGCGAAGGCAGCUUACUGGGCUGCAACUGACACUGAGGCACGAAAGCGUGGGGAGCAAACAGGAUUAGAUACCCUAGUAGUC
RNAcentral lists this ribosomal RNA (460 nucleotides) under uncultured bacterium. RNAcentral describes it as "partial 16S ribosomal RNA". It matches the Rfam family "Bacterial small subunit ribosomal RNA", at positions 338 to 795 of the family's 1533-position model. The record is from RNAcentral.